CUUCUUGGUUGUAAAGCCCUUUUGUUGGGAAAGAAAAGCAGUCGGUUAAUACCCGAUUGUUCUGACGGUACCCAAAGAAUAAGCACCGGCUAACUUCGUGCCAGCAGCCGCGGUAAUACGAAGGGUGCAAGCGUUACUCGGAAUUACUGGGCGUAAAGCGUGCGUAGGUGGUGGUUUAAGUCCGUUGUGAAAGCCCUGGGCUCAACCUGGGAAUUGCAGUGGAUACUGGGUCACUAGAGUGUGGUAGAGGGUAGCGGAAUUCCCGGUGUAGCAGUGAAAUGCGUAGAGAUCGGGAGGAACAUCUGUGGCGAAGGCGGCUACCUGGACCAACACUGACACUGAGGCACGAAAGCGUGGGGAGCAAACAGGAUUAGAUACCCUGGUUGUCCACGCCCUAAACGAUGCGAACUGGAUGUUGGGUGCAAUUUGGCACGCAGUCUCCAAGCUAACGCGUUAAGUUCGCCGCCUGGGGAGUACAGUCGCCAGACUGAAACUCAAAAGAAUUGACGGGGGGGCCGCACAAGCGGUGGAGUAUGUGGUUUUAUUCGAUGCUACGCGCAGAACCUUACCUGGU
This 574-nucleotide ribosomal RNA is filed under the name Xanthomonas sp. Ri3Pt_4459. RNAcentral describes it as "bacterial SSU rRNA". It matches the Rfam family "Bacterial small subunit ribosomal RNA", at positions 415 to 979 of the family's 1533-position model. Lineage: Bacteria; Pseudomonadati; Pseudomonadota; Gammaproteobacteria; Lysobacterales; Lysobacteraceae. The record is from RNAcentral.